GAUGAACGCUGGCGGCGUGCCUAAUACAUGUAAGUCGAGCGAACAGACGAGGAGCUUGCUCCUCUGACGUUAGCGGCGGACGGGUGAGUAACACGUGGAUAACCUACCUAUAAGACUGGGAUAACUUCGGGAAACCGGAGCUAAUACCGGAUAACAUGUUGAACCGCAUGGUUCAACAGUGAAAGACGGUUUUGCUGUCACUUAUAGAUGGAUCCGCGUCGCAUUAGCUAGUUGGUAAGGUAACGGCUUACCAAGGCAACGAUGCGUAGCCGACCUGAGAGGGUGAUCGGCCACACUGGAACUGAGACACGGUCCAGACUCCUACGGGAGGCAGCAGUAGGGAAUCUUCCGCAAUGGGCGAAAGCCUGACGGAGCAACGCCGCGUGAGUGAAGAAGGUCUUCGGAUCGUAAAACUCUGUUAUUAGGGAAGAACAAAUGUGUAAGUAACUAUGCACGUCUUGACGGUACCUAAUCAGAAAGCCACGGCUAACUACGUG
RNAcentral lists this ribosomal RNA (497 nucleotides) under uncultured bacterium. Its description in RNAcentral is "partial 16S ribosomal RNA". It matches the Rfam family "Bacterial small subunit ribosomal RNA", at positions 28 to 507 of the family's 1533-position model. The record is from RNAcentral.